Molecule: unclassified non-coding RNA, 333 nt
Filed under: soil metagenome
Description: partial contains 5.8S ribosomal RNA, internal transcribed spacer 2, and large subunit ribosomal RNA
Rfam family: 5.8S ribosomal RNA (bases 1-121)
Source: RNAcentral
GAUGAAGAACGCAGCGAAAUGCGAUAAGUAAUGCGAAUUGCAGAAUUUCCGUGAGUCAUCGAAUCUUUGAACGCACAUUGCGCCCGCCAGUAUUCUGGCGGGCAUGCCUGUUCGAGCGUCAUUUCAACCCUCAAGCACAGCUUGGUGUUGGGACUCGCGUUAAUUCGCGUUCCCCAAAUUGAUUGGCGGUCACGUCGAGCUUCCAUAGCGUAGUAGUAAAACCCUCGUUACUGGUAAUCGUCGCGGCCACGCCGUUAAACCCCAACUUCUGAAUGUUGACCUCGGAUCAGGUAGGAAUACCCGCUGAACUUAAGCAUAUCAAUAAGCGGAGGA